GAGUCGCCAUGGAAACGGGGCGACAACACCAACUGACAAACUGUAAAUCUCCAUCUCUCGCUGCGGUUUUCACUGCUUUCAGAUUCUUCUAUGCUGAUGGCCGUGCAGCAGAGUUGGAGCGGACCUCCUGUCUGACAACAUCUCUAAGGCGCUAUGAACCAUAUGACUAUCUCACCCAUUCAGGACUGUGAAAGCGGGAACUCUUUGACCCACCAGUGGCAGUUUCCACGGGAUGAAAAAGGGCAUAGUAGUGGAUGAUGGGGGUACUGACAUUAACCUGCUGUAUUCACUGUACACACUGGGGAAGGGCAUUUUUGUCAGUUUUUCAUUUCAAGUACUGGUGGUUUUGAUUUUGUCUGGAUGGCUUGCUGUCCUAACACUAACUAGUCAGAGCUCAGGUACCACCCAAAAUGCUGCCAUAACCAAUCAGAAAAAGAGAAAUAUAUAAAGUCAAGUGAUCAUCGAGUACUCAGACUUGACAGCGAUAACUGAUUAUGAAAACGAUCAUUGCAGUGACUUUAAAAAAUGAUCAAUCAUUGUUGUUAAGUCUGAGUACUCUAGUACUUGUGCACAUCCCUAUUAAACACAUAUACACAGUACUGAGGUAUGAUGUAUACUGUAAAUGCAAUAAACAUUUUAAUCAUCAUCAUCUUGUCAAGUCUUGUUACUUCUGGAUUUUCUUUUUUUUU
Onychostoma macrolepis is the source of this 689-nucleotide long non-coding RNA. RefSeq lists it as uncharacterized. Lineage: Eukaryota; Metazoa; Chordata; Actinopteri; Cypriniformes; Cyprinidae. The record is from RefSeq and is a predicted model, not a curated record. The transcript has 3 exons.